This 31-nucleotide non-coding RNA is filed under the name Macaca fascicularis (crab-eating macaque). RNAcentral also lists the same sequence under 1 other name. Lineage: Eukaryota; Metazoa; Chordata; Mammalia; Primates; Cercopithecidae. The record is from RNAcentral.
UUCCACUUGGGCUUAAAGCUGUCCUGCCAGA